GUUCCGUAGUGUAGUGGUUAUCACGUUCGCUUAACACGCGAAAGGUCGCCGGUUCGAGCCCGGGCGGAAACA
This 72-nucleotide transfer RNA is filed under the name Ciona intestinalis (vase tunicate). RNAcentral describes it as "tRNA-Val (AAC) (tRNA-Val-AAC-13-1)". It matches the Rfam family "tRNA". Rfam says of the family: Transfer RNA (tRNA) molecules are approximately 80 nucleotides in length. Their secondary structure includes four short double-helical elements and three loops (D, anti-codon, and T loops). Further hydrogen bonds mediate the characteristic L-shaped molecular structure. tRNAs have two regions of fundamental functional importance: the anti-codon, which is responsible for specific mRNA codon recognition, and the 3' end, to which the tRNAs corresponding amino acid is attached (by aminoacyl-tRNA synthetases). tRNAs cope with the degeneracy of the genetic code in two manners: having more than one tRNA (with a specific anti-codon) for a particular amino acid; and 'wobble' base-pairing, i.e. permitting non-standard base-pairing at the 3rd anti-codon position. The record is from Rfam by way of RNAcentral. Lineage: Eukaryota; Metazoa; Chordata; Ascidiacea; Phlebobranchia; Cionidae.